This is a long non-coding RNA of Odocoileus virginianus texanus, 1137 nucleotides long. RefSeq lists it as uncharacterized. Lineage: Eukaryota; Metazoa; Chordata; Mammalia; Artiodactyla; Cervidae. The record is from RefSeq and is a predicted model, not a curated record.
UGUCCUUAAAAAGUGUUUUAGAUCAGUUGAGAGGUAUUAAGAAAUAUAAGAGUCAAGUCUAAUAAAGAGAUGUAAAGCUUAGAAAAGUAGAUGACAUUGGAAGUCGACCUUAGAGAGAUAAGAGCUCAAGUUCCAGGCAUGAAACAAACUCUCAAGGAAAAAGAAGUGAGAACAUUGUGUCAUUAAGGAAUGAAGGAGUUCGUAGGCCCACGUUCCUACUGAUGUUCUCCAGAAAUGCAAAGUAAGACAUGAGUUGGCAGCUUCCUGGAAAGAUGAAAGAGGUUUUAGAAGACAGGCUGUGCACCUGGCCAGGUUCCAGAUGAGUGGUUCCCUCCUGAGAUGAGGCUGUAUCAGCCAGGAAGAGCCUAAAGGCAGUGAAAGGGCAUGGCAACAUCUUCAAAUCACUGGUACCUGGAACAGCCACCCAAUUGACCUCCUGAAUCUGGCUUUAGCAGAAGGAAGAACAUAGUUGUAAGACUGAAACAGUCUAGUGUCUGAACCAUUUUCUCAAUUUUUUAAAUAAAUAAUCGUCAUCCUUUGCUCAACUGAGUUUUCUUGGUCAUUGAACUAAGACUUAGACAGAUAAUUGUGAGAGAUGAGGAAGGCAGAAGAGGUAAACCAGGAAUAUCAGAAGAUGAAGGACCUGAUGAGCAAUGCUAUAAUAAAUGAAUUGAGAAGUUUAAGCUUGUACUUGAUCCAUUAAUGGGGGCAGGAAAUGGUAGCAGGCAUGGGAAUGGUUAAAGCAGAUUAGCAUCUUUGAAAUCUAUUUGGAUUACAAGCUUCAUUUUCAAUAUGCAGAUAAACCUGAGUAGUUAAGCCUUUGUCACUCAGAACUUGCUGUGAAUUAUUUUGAUCAGCUCAACACAGAGCAACUGGGGAGGACUGGGUUUUGAGGAGGUGGAGGUGGUCAUGCUCAAAAUAGAUUUUGUCUAGAGUCUGCUGUGCACAGUAUGUCACUCCUGAAAUGGCUCCCUUGUCAUCUUCAGCAAAUGCUGUAAAUUGUAUACAUUUAAGAGCUUAAGGCCAGUAUGCACAAUUUUGUCCCAGGAUAUGGCCCUAAAAGAACUAUCUAGGCUCUAUCUAGUCAAAGCUAUGGUUUUUCCAGCAGUCAUGUAUGGAUGUGAGAGUUGAACCAUA